RNAcentral lists this ribosomal RNA (395 nucleotides) under uncultured bacterium. RNAcentral describes it as "bacterial SSU rRNA". It matches the Rfam family "Bacterial small subunit ribosomal RNA", at positions 505 to 898 of the family's 1533-position model. The record is from RNAcentral.
GUGUCAGCAGCCGCGGUAAUACGGGGGGAGCGAACGUUGUUCGGAAUUACUGGGCGUAAAGGGCGUGCAGGCGGCCUUGUAAGUGGGAUGUGAAAUGCCCUGGCUCAACCAGGGAACUGCAUCCCAUACUGUAAGGCUUGAGUAUAGGAGAGGAUGGGGGAAUUCCCGGUGUAGCGGUGAAAUGCAUUGAUAUCGGGAGGAACACCAGUGGCGAAGGCGCCCAUCUGGCCUAAUACUGACGCUCAGGCGCGAAAGCUAGGGGAGCAAACAGGAUUAGAUACCCUGGUAGUCCUAGCCGUAAACGGUGGGCACUAGGUGUAGGAGGCAUCGACCCCUCCUGUGCCGCAGCUAACGCAUUAAGUGCCCCGCCUGGGGAGUACGACCGCAAGGUUGAA